CCAACGUGGAUAUCCUGUGGGGUCGCUCCCGCAGGCUCUGUCCUUGUGGCGUAUGGGAGCGUAGCGUCUUGUGGCGCAGUGACGUACAGUCCCGUUCCACGACGUUGGAGAUCAUGCCGGUCUUCUGGCUGGUGUGGACGGUGUCCUGUAUAUUCCUACAACUUCUCAGAGCUCUUGAGCUGUGACCGAGGAGCCAAACCAUGCAGGAUACACUU
This is a small nucleolar RNA of Bufo bufo (common toad), 215 nucleotides long. RefSeq annotates it as small nucleolar RNA SNORA73 family. NCBI's taxonomy places the organism in Eukaryota, Metazoa, Chordata, Amphibia, Anura, Bufonidae. The record is from RefSeq and is a predicted model, not a curated record. The transcript has a single exon.